UGGGGAAUAUUGCACAAUGGGCGCAAGCCUGAUGCAGCCAUGCCGCGUGUAUGAAGAAGGCCUUCGGGUUGUAAAGUACUUUCAGCGAGGAGGAAGGCCUUGUGGUUAAUAACCGCAGUAAUUGACGUUACUCGCAGAAGAAGCACCGGC
RNAcentral lists this ribosomal RNA (150 nucleotides) under Citrobacter sp. FBT4-6. RNAcentral describes it as "partial 16S ribosomal RNA". It matches the Rfam family "Bacterial small subunit ribosomal RNA", at positions 355 to 497 of the family's 1533-position model. The record is from RNAcentral. Lineage: Bacteria; Pseudomonadati; Pseudomonadota; Gammaproteobacteria; Enterobacterales; Enterobacteriaceae.